GCAGGUUGAGAUAAUUUCUCUACAGUAGCAGGUUCAAUUUCUUGAGAAAUUUCAUCAAGUUGUGCAGUAGUUCCAGCAGUGAUAGACGACGACGACGGCACGUUAGUAAUUUCUGAUGUCUCUGCAGUUUGUUGCUGGAUAUUCUUGUCUUCAUCCAAGUCUACUGCUGUUUUUAUUGGCCUCCCAUUCCGAAGAGUUAUCGCCUUCGCAUGUUCUUGGUUUUUCGGAUUAAUCUCUGUUUGGCUUGGCAAAGCUCCAUUUACUCUUCCUGUCAAUACAUUAGCUAGCUGGCCCAUCUGAACCUCCAAGUUUCGAAUAGAGGCAGCU
Molecule: long non-coding RNA, 327 nt
Filed under: Prunus persica (peach)
Lineage: Eukaryota; Viridiplantae; Streptophyta; Magnoliopsida; Rosales; Rosaceae
Description: long non-coding RNA (PPER_LNC005810)
Source: RNAcentral